CGAUUCCCAGAGUCGUGGAAUUGCUGACCUAGGCUACGCUGUGGCGAGUUAACGGUCAUCAAGUCAGAAGUCUAGGAUCGAGAGGAUGACCCCCACCCUGUACUGAGACCGAACAGACUCCUACGGAGGCAGCAGUAGAUAUGUCAUGGAGGCAGUUUGACAGCAUGCGCGUGCAGGAAGACAGCCCUCUGGUCGUAAACUGCUUUAUUCGGGAAUAAACCCUACUUACGUGUAAGUAGCUGAAUGUACCGAAGGAAUAAGGAUCGGCUAACUCCGUGCCAGCAGCCGCGGUAAUACGGAGGAUCCAAGCGUUAUCCGGGAUUUAUUGGGUUUAAAGGGUGCGUAGGCGGCUUUUUAAGUCAGGGGUGAAAGACGGUGGCUCAACCAUCGCAGUGCCCUUGAUACUGAAGAGCUUGAAUGAACUAGAGGUAGGCGGAAUGUGACAAGUAGCGGUGAAAUGCAUAGAUAUGUCACAGAACACCGAUUGCGAAGGCAGCUUACUAUGGUUAUAUUGACGCUGAGGCACGAAAGCGUGGGGAUCAAACAGGAUUAGAUACCCUGGUAGUCCACGCCCUAAACGAUGAAUACUCGCUGUUAGCGAUACACAGUUAGCGGCUAAGCGAAAGCGUUAAGUAUUCCACCUGGGGAGUACGGUCGCAAGAUUGAAACUCAAAGGAAUUGACGGGGGCCCGCACAAGCGGAGGAGCAUGUGGUUUAAUUCGAUGAUACGCGAGGAACCUUACCCGGGCUUGAAAGUUAGUGAAUCAUUUAGAGAUAGAUGAGUCCGCAAGGACACGAAACUAGGUGCUGCAUGGCUGUCGUCAGCUCGUGCCGUGAGGUGUUGGGUUAAGUCCCGCAACGAGCGCAACCCCUAUGUUUAGUUGCCAGCACGUUAUGGUGGGGACUCUAAACAGACUGCCUGUGCAAACAGAGAGGAAGGAGGGGACGACGUCAAGUCAUCAUGGCCCUUACGUCCGGGGCUACACACGUGCUACAAUGGAUGGUACAGAGGGCAGCAAGCUGGUAACAGCAAGCCAAUCUCCAAAAGCCAUUCACAGUUCGGAUAGAGGUCUGCAACUCGACCUCUUGAAGUUGGAUUCGCUAGUAAUCGCAUAUCAGCAAUGAUGCGGUGAAUACGUUCCCGGGCCUUGUACACACCGCCCGUCAAGCCAUGGAAGUUGGGGGUACCUAAAGUAUGUAACCGCAAGGAGCGUCCUAGGAAGCCGUCCUCAC
Molecule: ribosomal RNA, 1233 nt
Filed under: uncultured bacterium
Lineage: Bacteria
Description: bacterial SSU rRNA
Rfam family: Bacterial small subunit ribosomal RNA
Source: RNAcentral